This 433-nucleotide ribosomal RNA is filed under the name uncultured bacterium. Its description in RNAcentral is "partial 16S ribosomal RNA". It matches the Rfam family "Bacterial small subunit ribosomal RNA", at positions 29 to 507 of the family's 1533-position model. The record is from RNAcentral.
AACGAACGCUGGCGGCAUGCCUAACACAUGCAAGUCGAACGAGACCUUCGUGUCUAGUUGCGCACGGGUGCGUAACGCGUGGGAACCUGCCCUUAGGUUCGGAAUAACUCCCCGAAAGGUGUGCUAAUACCGGUUAAUGUCUUCGGACCAAAGAUUUAUCGCCUUUGGAUGGGGCCGCGUUGGAUUAGCUAGUUGGUAGGGUAAAAGCCUACCAAGGCGACGAUCCAUAGCUGGUCUGAGAGGAUGAUCAGCCACGCUGGGAAUGAGACACGGCCCAGACUCCUACGGGAGGCAGCAGUGGGGAAUAUUGGACGAUGGGCGAAAGCCUGAUCCAGCAAUGCCGCGUGAGUGAUGAAGGCCUUAGGGUUGUAAAGCUCUUUUAGCCGGGAUGAUAAUGACAGUACCGGGAGAAUAAGCUCCGGCUAACUACGUG